AGAACGAACGCUGGCGGCAGGCUUAACACAUGCAAGUCGAGCGCCCCGCAAGGGGAGCGGCAGACGGGUGAGUAACGCGUGGGAACGUACCUUUUGCUACGGAAUAACUCAGGGAAACUUGUGCUAAUACCGUAUGUGCCCUUCGGGGGAAAGAUUUAUCGGCAAAGGAUCGGCCCGCGUUGGAUUAGCUAGUUGGUGAGGUAAAGGCUCACCAAGGCGACGAUCCAUAGCUGGUCUGAGAGGAUGAUCAGCCACACUGGGACUGAGACACGGCCCAGACUCCUACGGGAGGCAGCAGUGGGGAAUAUUGGACAAUGGGCGCAAGCCUGAUCCAGCCAUGCCGCGUGAGUGAUGAAGGCCCUAGGGUUGUAAAGCUCUUUCACCGGUGAAGAUAAUGACGGUAACCGGAGAAGAAGCCCCGGCUAACUUCGUGCCAGCAGCCGCGGU
RNAcentral lists this ribosomal RNA (447 nucleotides) under uncultured bacterium. RNAcentral's name for it is "bacterial SSU rRNA". It matches the Rfam family "Bacterial small subunit ribosomal RNA", at positions 26 to 521 of the family's 1533-position model. The record is from RNAcentral.